Molecule: ribosomal RNA, 251 nt
Filed under: uncultured bacterium
Lineage: Bacteria
Description: partial 16S ribosomal RNA
Rfam family: Bacterial small subunit ribosomal RNA
Source: RNAcentral
UACAGAGGUCUCAAGCGUUGUUCGGAAUCACUGGGCGUAAAGCGUGCGUAGGCUGUUUCGUAAGUCGUGUGUGAAAGGCGCGGGCUCAACCCGCGGACGGCACAUGAUACUGCGAGACUAGAGUAAUGGAGGGGGAACCGGAAUUCUCGGUGUAGCAGUGAAAUGCGUAGAUAUCGAGAGGAACACUCGUGGCGAAGGCGGGUUCCUGGACAUUAACUGACGCUGAGGCACGAGAGCGUGGGGAUCGAACA